CCUACGGGGGGCAGCAGUGGGGGAUAUUGGACAAUGGGGGGAACCCUGAUCCAGCGACGCCGCGUGAGUGAAGAAGUAUUUCGGUAUGUAAAGCUCUGUCAGCAGGGAAGAAAGAAAUGACGGUACCUGACCAAGAAGCCCCGGCUAACUACGUGCCAGCAGCCGCGGUAAUACGUAGGGGGCAAGCGUUAUCCGGAAUUACUGGGUGUAAAGGGGGCGUAGACGGUUAAGUAAGUCUGGAGUGAAAGGCGGGGGCCCAACCCCGGGACUGCUCUGGAAACUAUUGAACUUGAGUGCAGGAGAGGUAAGCGGAAUGCGUAGUGUAGCGGUGAAAUGCGUAGAUAUUAGGAGGAACACCAGUGGCGAAGGCGGCUUACGGGACUGUAACUGACGUUGAGGCACGAAAGCGUGGGGAUCGAACAGGAUUAGAUACCCGUGUAGUC
RNAcentral lists this ribosomal RNA (443 nucleotides) under uncultured bacterium. RNAcentral describes it as "partial 16S ribosomal RNA". It matches the Rfam family "Bacterial small subunit ribosomal RNA", at positions 338 to 795 of the family's 1533-position model. The record is from RNAcentral.